Molecule: small nuclear RNA, 162 nt
Organism: Microtus ochrogaster (prairie vole)
Lineage: Eukaryota; Metazoa; Chordata; Mammalia; Rodentia; Cricetidae
Gene: U1
Rfam family: U1 spliceosomal RNA
About the family: U1 is a small nuclear RNA (snRNA) component of the spliceosome (involved in pre-mRNA splicing).
Source: Ensembl
ACACUCACGCAGCUAAGUGAGCACCCUCAACACGUCUUUGUUUUUUUCAGGCGAGGGUGACCGAAUUGCACUAGUGUUGUGCUGGCCCCUGUGAUUUCCCCAAAUUCGGGAAACUCCACUGCAUAAUUUUUAUUAAUUUGCCACCGCGUUUGUGGUCUCGGC